This 494-nucleotide ribosomal RNA is filed under the name uncultured bacterium. Its description in RNAcentral is "partial 16S ribosomal RNA". It matches the Rfam family "Bacterial small subunit ribosomal RNA", at positions 28 to 507 of the family's 1533-position model. The record is from RNAcentral.
GACGAACGCUGGCGGCGUGCUUAACACAUGCAAGUCGAACGGAAAGGCCUGCUUUCCCUUGUGGAUUGCGGGUACUCGAGUGGCGAACGGGUGAGUAACACGUGAGUGAUCUGCCCCCAACUUGGGUAUAAGCCUGGGAAACUGGGUCUAAUUCCCGAUAGGACUGCAGGGUGGUGCCUGUGGUGGAAAACGAUUUUCUAGUGGUUGGGGAUGAGCUCGCGGCCUAUCAGCUUGUUGGUGGGGUAAUGGCCUACCAAGGCGGCGACGGGUAGCCGGCCUGGGAGGGUGGACGGCCACAUUGGGACUGAGAUACGGCCCGGACUCCUACGGGAGGCAGCAGUGGGGAAUAUUGCACAAUGGGCGGAAGCCUGAUGCAGCGACGCCGCGUGGGGGAUGACGGCCUUCGGGUUGUAAACUCCUUUCGACCGCGAGGAAGCCACCUGGUUGGAAGGGUGGUGACGGUAGUGGUAGAAGAAGCACCGGCUAACUACGUG